RNAcentral lists this transfer RNA (73 nucleotides) under Camelus bactrianus (Bactrian camel). It matches the Rfam family "tRNA". Rfam says of the family: Transfer RNA (tRNA) molecules are approximately 80 nucleotides in length. Their secondary structure includes four short double-helical elements and three loops (D, anti-codon, and T loops). Lineage: Eukaryota; Metazoa; Chordata; Mammalia; Artiodactyla; Camelidae. The record is from Rfam by way of RNAcentral. RNAcentral also lists the same sequence under 3 other names.
GAGGGUAUAGCUCAAGUGGUAGAGUACAUGCUUAGCAUGCACAAGGUCUUGGGUUCAAUUCCCAGUACCUCCU